AGAUUAAGUUAUUAAGGGCGCACGGUGGAUGCCUUGGCACUAGAAGCCGAUGAAGGACGUUACUAACGACGAUAUGCUUUGGGUAGCUGUAAGUAAGCGUUGAUCCAGAGAUUUCCGAAUGGGGGAACCCAGCAUGAGUUAUGUCAUGUUAUCGACAUGUGAAUUCAUAGCAUGUCAGAAGGCAGACCCGGAGAACUGAAACAUCUUAGUACCCGGAGGAAGAGAAAGAAAAAUCGAUUCCCUGAGUAGCGGCGAGCGAAACGGGAAGAGCCCAAACCAACAAGCUUGCUUGUUGGGGUUGUAGGACACUCUAUACGGAGUUACAAAAGAACAUGUUAGACGAAUCAUCUGGAAAGAUGAAUCAAAGAAGGUAAUAAUCCUGUAGUCGAAAACAUAUUCUCUCUUGAGUGGAUCCUGAGUACGACGGAGCACGUGAAAUUCCGUCGGAAUCUGGGAGGACCAUCUCCUAAGGCUAAAUACUCUCUAGUGACCGAUAGUGAACCAGUACCGUGAGGGAAAGGUGAAAAGUACCCCGGAAGGGGAGUGAAAGAGAACUUGAAACCGUGUGCUUACAAGUAGUCAGAGCCCGUUAAUGGGUGAUGGCGUGCCUUUUGUAGAAUGAACCGGCGAGUUACGAUCUGAUGCAAGGUUAAGCAGCAAAUGUGGAGCCGCAGCGAAAGCGAGUCUGAAUAGGGCGUUGAGUAUUUGGUCGUAGACCCGAAACCAGGUGAUCUACCCUUGGUCAGGUUGAAGUUCAGGUAACACUGAAUGGAGGACCGAACCGACUUACGUUGAAAAGUGAGCGGAUGAACUGAGGGUAGCGGAGAAAUUCCAAUCGAACUUGGAGAUAGCUGGUUCUCUCCGAAAUAGCUUUAGGGCUAGCCUCAAGUGAUGAUUAUUGGAGGUAGAGCACUGUUUGGACGAGGGGCCCCUCUCGGGUUACCGAAUUCAGACAAACUCCGAAUGCCAAUUAAUUUAACUUGGGAGUCAGAACAUGGGUGAUAAGGUCCGUGUUCGAAAGGGAAACAGCCCAGACCACCAGCUAAGGUCCCAAAAUAUAUGUUAAGUGGAAAAGGAUGUGGCGUUGCCCAGACAACUAGGAUGUUGGCUUAGAAGCAGCCAUCAUUUAAAGAGUGCGUAAUAGCUCACUAGUCGAGUGACACUGCGCCGAAAAUGUACCGGGGCUAAACAUAUUACCGAAGCUGUGGAUUGUCCUUUGGACAAUGGUAGGAGAGCGUUCUAAGGGCGUCGAAGCAUGAUCGCAAGGACAUGUGGAGCGCUUAGAAGUGAGAAUGCCGGUGUGAGUAGCGAAAGACGGGUGAGAAUCCCGUCCACCGAUUGACUAAGGUUUCCAGAGGAAGGCUCGUCCGCUCUGGGUUAGUCGGGUCCUAAGCUGAGGCCGACAGGCGUAGGCGAUGGAUAACAGGUUGAUAUUCCUGUACCACCUAGUAUCGUUUUAAUUGAUGGGGGGACGCAGUAGGAUAGGCGAAGCGUGCUGUUGGAGUGCACGUCCAAGCAGUAAGGCUGAGUGUUAGGCAAAUCCGGCACUCAUAAGGCUGAGCUGUGAUGGGGAGAGGAAAUUGUUUCCUCGAGUCGUUGAUUUCACACUGCCGAGAAAAGCCUCUAGAUAGAUAACAGGUGCCCGUACCGCAAACCGACACAGGUAGUCAAGAUGAGAAUUCUAAGGUGAGCGAGCGAACUCUCGUUAAGGAACUCGGCAAAAUGACCCCGUAACUUCGGGAGAAGGGGUGCUCUUUAGGGUUCACGCCCAGAAGAGCCGCAGUGAAUAGGCCCAAGCGACUGUUUAUCAAAAACACAGGUCUCUGCUAAACCGUAAGGUGAUGUAUAGGGGCUGACGCCUGCCCGGUGCUGGAAGGUUAAGAGGAGUGGUUAGCUUCUGCGAAGCUACGAAUCGAAGCCCCAGUAAACGGCGGCCGUAACUAUAACGGUCCUAAGGUAGCGAAAUUCCUUGUCGGGUAAGUUCCGACCCGCACGAAAGGCGUAACGAUUUGGGCACUGUCUCAACGAGAGACUCGGUGAAAUCAUAGUACCUGUGAAGAUGCAGGUUACCCGCGACAGGACGGAAAGACCCCGUGGAGCUUUACUGUAGCCUGAUAUUGAAAUUCGGCACAGCUUGUACAGGAUAGGUAGGAGCCUUUGAAACGUGAGCGCUAGCUUACGUGGAGGCGUUGGUGGGAUACUACCCUAGCUGUGUUGGCUUUCUAACCCGCACCACUUAUCGUGGUGGGAGACAGUGUCAGGCGGGCAGUUUGACUGGGGCGGUCGCCUCCUAAAAGGUAACGGAGGCGCUCAAAGGUUCCCUCAGAAUGGUUGGAAAUCAUUCAUAGAGUGUAAAGGCAUAAGGGAGCUUGACUGCGAGACCUACAAGUCGAGCAGGGUCGAAAGACGGACUUAGUGAUCCGGUGGUUCCGCAUGGAAGGGCCAUCGCUCAACGGAUAAAAGCUACCCCGGGGAUAACAGGCUUAUCUCCCCCAAGAGUUCACAUCGACGGGGAGGUUUGGCACCUCGAUGUCGGCUCAUCGCAUCCUGGGGCUGUAGUCGGUCCCAAGGGUUGGGCUGUUCGCCCAUUAAAGCGGUACGCGAGCUGGGUUCAGAACGUCGUGAGACAGUUCGGUCCCUAUCCGUCGUGGGCGUAGGAAAUUUGAGAGGAGCUGUCCUUAGUACGAGAGGACCGGGAUGGACAUACCUCUGGUGUACCAGUUGUCGUGCCAACGGCAUAGCUGGGUAGCUAUGUAUGGACGGGAUAAGUGCUGAAAGCAUCUAAGCAUGAAGCCCCCCUCAAGAUGAGAUUUCCCAACUUCGGUUAUAAGAUCCCUCGAAGAUGACGAGGUUAAUAGGUUCGAGGUGGAAGCGUGGUGACACGUGGAGCUGACGAAUACUAAUCGAUCGAAGACUUAAUCAAUUUUUAAA
RNAcentral lists this ribosomal RNA (2931 nucleotides) under Staphylococcus epidermidis. RNAcentral describes it as "23S ribosomal RNA". It matches the Rfam family "Bacterial large subunit ribosomal RNA". Lineage: Bacteria; Bacillati; Bacillota; Bacilli; Caryophanales; Staphylococcaceae. The record is from RNAcentral.